AUUGAACGCUGGCGGCAUGCCUUACACAUGCAAGUCGAACGGUAACAGGUCUUCGGAUGCUGACGAGUGGCGAACGGGUGAGUAAUACAUCGGAACGUGCCUAGUAGUGGGGGAUAGCUACUCGAAAGAGUGGCUAAUACCACAUGAGAUCUACCGAUGAAAGCAGGGGAUCGCAAGGCCUUGUGCUACUAGAGCGGCCGAUGGCAGAUUAGGUAGUUGGUGGGAUCAAAGCUUACCAAGCUGACGAUCUGUAGCUGGUCUGAGAGGGACGAUCAGCCACACUGGGACUGAGACACGGCCCAGACUCCUACAGGAGGCAGCAGUGGGGAAUUUUGGACAAUGGGCGCAAGCCUGAUCCAGCAAUGCCGCGUGAAGGAUGAAGGCCUUCGGGUUGGAAACUGCUUUUGUACGGAACGAAAAGCCCUGGGUUAAUACCCUGGGGUCAUGACGGUACCGUAAGAAUAAGCACCGGCUAACUACGUGCCAGCCGCCGCCGUAA
Molecule: ribosomal RNA, 499 nt
Filed under: uncultured bacterium
Lineage: Bacteria
Description: partial 16S ribosomal RNA
Rfam family: Bacterial small subunit ribosomal RNA
Source: RNAcentral